Molecule: long non-coding RNA, 327 nt
Organism: Melanotaenia boesemani (Boeseman's rainbowfish)
Lineage: Eukaryota; Metazoa; Chordata; Actinopteri; Atheriniformes; Melanotaeniidae
Exons: 3
Source: RefSeq, a predicted model, not a curated record
CGUGUCUUUAUGAUCAGAGGAAGAAUACUUUAAUUUGAGGUGUCAUGGCAGCAACAAGUUCCAGUUGCAAUGUUUGAAGAUAUAGCCAACAGGGUUGGUUGUCAGAGUGGCUACAACUCGACCACUAGAGGAAACAGGUGAAAGACAGUGAUAGAAAAUGGGCAGGAAGUUUGUCCGGAAGACUACUUUUGGCCAGACACCCCCCUCAUGCUGUGGGCCAGUCUCUAAUAUGUUGUAUUGUUAUUGUCUGAUAUAUUGUUCUUUAUACUGAUUUUUUUUUAUUCUGACACUGAUACUAAAGUACAAAAUGAUUCAGCCAGUUUGUGG